GAUGAACGCUGGCGGCGUGCCUAAUACAUGCCAGUCGAGCGAACGGACGAGAAGCUUGCUUCUCUGAUGUUAGCGGCGGACGGGUGAGUAACACGUGGAUAACCUACCUAUAAGACUGGGAUAACUUCGGGAAACCGGAGCUAAUACCGGAUAAUAUUUUGAACCGCAUGGUUCAAAAGUGAAAGACGGUCUUGCUGUCACUUAUAGAUGGAUCCGCGCUGCAUUAGCUAGUUGGUAAGGUAACGGCUUACCAAGGCAACGAUGCAUAGCCGACCUGAGAGGGUGAUCGGCCAAACUGGAACUGAGACACGGUCCAGACUCCUAAGGGAGGCAGCAGUAGGGAAUCUUCCGCCAUGGGCGAAAGCCUGACGGAGCAACGCCGCGUGAGUGAUGAAGGUCUUCGGAUCGUAAAACUCUGUUAUUAGGGAAGAACAUAUGUGUAAGUAACUGUGCACAUCUUGACGGUACCUAAUCAGAAAGCCACGGCUAACUACGUG
This 497-nucleotide ribosomal RNA is filed under the name uncultured bacterium. RNAcentral describes it as "partial 16S ribosomal RNA". It matches the Rfam family "Bacterial small subunit ribosomal RNA", at positions 28 to 507 of the family's 1533-position model. The record is from RNAcentral.